RNAcentral lists this ribosomal RNA (982 nucleotides) under human gut metagenome. RNAcentral's name for it is "bacterial LSU rRNA". It matches the Rfam family "Bacterial large subunit ribosomal RNA", at positions 1945 to 2925 of the family's 2925-position model. The record is from RNAcentral.
ACGGUCCUAAGGUAGCGAAAUUCCUUGUCAGGUAAGUUCUGACCCGCACGAAAGGCGUAACGAUUUGGGCGCUGUCUCAGCUGUAGACUCGGUGAAGUCUUAGUACCUGUGAAGAUGCAGGUUACCCGCGACUAGACGGAAAGACCCCAUGGAGCUUCACUGCAGGUUGAUAUUGGGAUUUGAUGCAGCAUGUACAGGAUAGGUAGGAGGCAAAGAGAUGGAUACGCCAGUAUUCAAGGAGCCGCUGUUGGGAUACUACCCCUGUUGUAUUGGAUUUCUAACCGGACGACGUAGAGCCGUUGACGGGACAGUGUCAGUCGGGCAGUUUGACUGGGGCGGUCGCCUCCCAAAGAGUAACGGAGGCGCCCAAAGAUACCCUCAGCUUGGAUGGAAACCAAGCGCAGAGUGCAAAGGCAAAAGGGUGUUUGACUGCGAGACCCACAAGUCGAGCAGGGACGAAAGUCGGGCUUAGUGAUCCGGCGGUGCUGAAUGGAAAGGCCGUCGCUCAACGGAUAAAAGCUACCCUGGGGAUAACAGGCUGAUCUCCCCCAAGAGUCCACAUCGACGGGGAGGUUUGGCACCUCGAUGUCGGCUCAUCGCAUCCUGGGGCUGUAUUCGGUCCCAAGGGUUUGGCUGUUCGCCAAUUAAAGCGGUACGCGAGCUGGGUUCAGAACGUCGUGAGACAGUUCGGUCCCUAUCUGUCGUGGGCGCAGGAAAUUUGAGAAGAGCUGUCCUCAGUACGAGAGGACCGGGAUGGACGCAUCAAUGGUGGACCAGUUGUCACGCCAGUGGCAUAGCUGGGUAGCUAAAUGCGGAAGGGAUAAACGCUGAAGGCAUCUAAGUGUGAAACCCACUUCAAGAUGAGAUUUCCCAUUGCGCAAGCAAGUAAGACCCCUUAAAGACGAUAAGGUAGAUAGGUCAGGAGUGUAAGCAUGGUGACAUGUUAAGCGGACUGAUACUAAUAGGUCGAGGGCUUGACCGA